Molecule: microRNA precursor, 96 nt
Filed under: Podarcis lilfordi (Lilford's wall lizard)
Lineage: Eukaryota; Metazoa; Chordata; Lepidosauria; Squamata; Lacertidae
Source: RNAcentral
GUGUGUUAUACAGCAUGUGUGUAUAUGUGUGUGUGGUGUGUGUGUGUGUAUAUAUAUACACACACACAUAUAUACAUAUACAUAUCUAUAUAUAUC